UUUCCAUUUUUCCACUUCCUUUUCAUUAUAGGAAAGUGAUAAAUUUAAAUUAUCAGUGGUUGUUAAUGUUAAAAUUAAUCCAGGUCCUUCUAUGGCUGCUAGUUUUACAGCAACAUCUGCUCGGUCAUUUCCUCUAGAGACAGGGUCAGAGCCACCUGUAUGGGCAGAGCAAUGAACUACAGCUAGGGCUUUAGGCAGUUUGAGAGCAGAAAGAACUUCAUUAAUAAUUUCUGCAUUAGCUAUGGAUUUUCCAGCUGAGGUUAAAAAACCUCUCUGGAGCCAUAGCAUCCCGACUGAGUGACAAAUGCCAAAAGCAUAUCUAGAAUCCGUAUAAAUUGUUGCCUUUUUAUCCUUGGCAAUUAUACAAGCUUGUUUUAGAGCUAUGAGUUCUGCUCCUUGAGCGCUAAUGUUAGAAGGUAGUGAAGCUGACCAUUCAGUGGCAAAUUCUGAGACUACGGCAGCUCCAGUGUAACGUAUGCCAUCCCUCAUAAAAGAGGAACCAUCGGGAAAUAAAAUCAGAUCUGCAUUGUCUAAGGGAGUGUCCAAGAGAUUAUCUCGAGGCUUUUCUGCCAUGGACACUAAUGUUUCACAGUUAUGUAAUGGUUCUCCUGAAGUAGGUAAAUCUGGAAGCAAGGUGGCAGGGUUAAGAGUUGAACAGCGUUUCAAGGUCCUUCUAUGGCUGCUAGUUUUACAGCAACAUCUGCUCGGUCAUUUCCUCUAGAGACAGGGUCAGAGCCACCUGUAUGGGCAGAGCAAUGAACUACAGCUAGGGCUUUAGGCAGUUUGAGAGCAGAAAGAACUUCAUUAAUAAUUUCUGCAUUAGCUAUGGAUUUUCCAGCUGAGGUUAAAAAACCUCUCUGGAGCCAUAGCAUCCCGACUGAGUGACAAAUGCCAAAAGCAUAUCUAGAAUCCGUAUAAAUUGUUGCCUUUUUAUCCUUGGCAAUUAUACAAGCUUGUUUUAGAGCUAUGAGUUCUGCUCCUUGAGCGCUAAUGUUAGAAGGUAGUGAAGCUGACCAUUCAGUGGCAAAUUCUGAGACUACGGCAGCUCCAGUGUAACGUAUGCCAUCCCUCAUAAAAGAGGAACCAUCGGGAAAUAAAAUCAGAUCUGCAUUGUCUAAGGGAGUGUCC
This 1128-nucleotide long non-coding RNA is filed under the name Monodelphis domestica (gray short-tailed opossum). RNAcentral's name for it is "lncRNA (ENSMODG00000039683.1)". Lineage: Eukaryota; Metazoa; Chordata; Mammalia; Didelphimorphia; Didelphidae. The record is from RNAcentral.